CCUACGGGAGGCAGCAGUGAGGAAUAUUGGUCAAUGGGCGCGAGCCUGAACCAGCCAUGCCGCGUGAAGGAUGACUGCCCUACGGGUUGUAAACUUCUUUUGUAAAGGAAUAAAGUGAGGCACGUGUGCCUUUUUGUAUGUACUUUACGAAUAAGGAUCGGCUAACUCCGUGCCAGCAGCCGCGGUAAUACGGAGGAUCCGAGCGUUAUCCGGAUUUAUUGGGUUUAAAGGGUGCGUAGAUGGGUUGAUAAGUUAGUUGUGAAAGUUUGGGGCUCAACCGCGAAAUUGCAGUUGAAACUGGUGGUCUUGAGUACAGUAGCGGUAGGCGGAAUGCGUGGUGUAGCGGUGAAAUGCUUAGAUAUCACGCAGAACUCCGAUUGCGAAGGCAGCUCACUGGACUGCAACUGACGUUGAUGCACGAAAGUGUGGGUAGCAAACAGGAUUAGAUACCCUGGUAGUC
This 460-nucleotide ribosomal RNA is filed under the name uncultured bacterium. RNAcentral's name for it is "partial 16S ribosomal RNA". It matches the Rfam family "Bacterial small subunit ribosomal RNA", at positions 338 to 795 of the family's 1533-position model. The record is from RNAcentral.